AAGACUAUACUUUCAGGGAUCAUUUCUAUAGUGAUUAACUAGAGAAAUGCGUUUCGAAAGUGUUUGGUCUCGCUAAUCACGAUGAAGAGCGUCGGUGCCUCUUUCUGAGCGCGAAGCGGAUUAAGAACCGUGAUUUUAUCAUGUGUUCUUGGUUAUUGAUGACCGUUCCGUUCUGCUUCGGUAGAAUCGGAGGGAAGAGGUGCGUUCUGAGUGAU
Small nucleolar RNA from Megalops cyprinoides (Indo-Pacific tarpon), 215 nucleotides. RefSeq annotates it as small nucleolar RNA U3. NCBI's taxonomy places the organism in Eukaryota, Metazoa, Chordata, Actinopteri, Elopiformes, Megalopidae. The record is from RefSeq and is a predicted model, not a curated record. The transcript has a single exon.